GCCUCAGAACUACAAUAGAUUGACGGGGGCCCGGCCACAAGCGGUGGAGCAUGUGGUUUAAUUCGAUGAUACGCGAGGAACCUUACCUGGGCUCAAAUGUAUGUUGACGUAUUCUGAAAGGGAUACUUCUUCGGACAAUAUACAAGGUAGCUGCAUGGUUGUCGUCAGCUCGUGCCGUGAGGUGUCGGGUUAAGUCCCAUAACGAGCGCAACCCCUAUCAUUAGUUGCCAUCAGGUCAAGCUGGGGACUCUAAUGAAACUGCCUACGCAAGUAGUGAGGAAGGUGGGGAUGACGUCAAAUCAGCACGGCCCUUACGUCCAGGGCUACACACGUGCUACAAUGGCCGAUACAGAGGGCAGCUACCUGGUGACAGGAUGCAAAUCUCCAAAGUCGGUCUCAGUUCGGAUCGGAGUCUGCAACCCGACUCCGUGAAGUUGGAUUCGCUAGUAAUCGCGCAUCAGCCAUGGCGCGGUGAAUACGUUCCCGGGCCUU
RNAcentral lists this ribosomal RNA (492 nucleotides) under uncultured Sphingobacteriales bacterium. Its description in RNAcentral is "bacterial SSU rRNA". It matches the Rfam family "Bacterial small subunit ribosomal RNA", at positions 904 to 1382 of the family's 1533-position model. The record is from RNAcentral. Lineage: Bacteria; Pseudomonadati; Bacteroidota; Sphingobacteriia; Sphingobacteriales.